CUGGCGGCGUGCCUAACACAUGCAAGUCGAGCGAUUACUUCGGUAAAGAGCGGCGGACGGGUGAGUAACGCGUGGGUAACCUGCCUCAUACACAUGGAUAACAUACCGAAAGGUAUGCUAAUACAGGAUAAUAUAAGAGAUUCACAUGGAUUUCUUAUCAAAGCUCCGGCGGUAUGAGAUGGACCCGCGUCUGAUUAGCUAGUUGGUAAGGUAAUGGCUUACCAAGGCGACGAUCAGUAGCCGACCUGAGAGGGUGAUCGGCCACAUUGGAACUGAGACACGGUCCAAACUCCUACGGGAGGCAGCAGUGGGGAAUAUUGCACAAUGGGCGAAAGCCUGAUGCAGCAACGCCGCGUGAGUGAUGAAGGCCUUCGGGUCGUAAAACUCUGUCCUCAAGGAAGAUAAUGACGGUACUUGAGGAGGAAGCCCCGGCUAACUACGUGCCAGCCGCCGC
Molecule: ribosomal RNA, 454 nt
Filed under: uncultured bacterium
Lineage: Bacteria
Description: bacterial SSU rRNA
Rfam family: Bacterial small subunit ribosomal RNA
Source: RNAcentral